Molecule: ribosomal RNA, 532 nt
Filed under: uncultured bacterium
Lineage: Bacteria
Description: bacterial SSU rRNA
Rfam family: Bacterial small subunit ribosomal RNA
Source: RNAcentral
GGGACGUAACGGUCCCCUUACUUCGGUACAUCCAAGACAGGUGGUGCAUGGUUGUCGUCAGCUCGUGUCGUGAGAUGUUGGGUUAAGUCCCGCAACGAGCGCAACCCUUAUCUUCAGUAGCCAGCAGGUAAAGCCGGGCACUCUGGAGAGACUGCCGGGGAUAACCCGGAGGAAGGUGGGGACGACGUCAAACCAUCAUGCCCCUUAUGGCCUGGGCUACACACGUGCUACAAUGGCGUAAACAGAGGGAGGCAGCCCCGCGAGGGUGAGCAAACCCCAAAAAUAACGUCCCAGUUCGGAUUGCAGUCUGCAACUCGACUGCAUGAAGCUGGAAUCGCUAGUAAUCGCGGAUCAGAAUGCCGCGGUGAAUACGUUCCCGGGUCUUGUACACACCGCCCGUCACACCAUGGGAGUUGGUAACGCCCGAAGUCAGUGACCUAACCGAAAGGGAGGAGCUGCCGAAGGUGGGACCAGUGACUGGGGUGAAGUCGUAACAAGGUAGCCGUAUCGGAAGGUGCGGCUGGAUCACCUC